GAGGGUAUAGCUCAGUGGUAGAGUGUGUGCUUGGCACACACAAGGUCCUGGGUUCAAUCCCCAGCACCUCCA
Molecule: transfer RNA, 72 nt
Organism: Camelus ferus (Wild Bactrian camel)
Lineage: Eukaryota; Metazoa; Chordata; Mammalia; Artiodactyla; Camelidae
Rfam family: tRNA
About the family: Transfer RNA (tRNA) molecules are approximately 80 nucleotides in length. Their secondary structure includes four short double-helical elements and three loops (D, anti-codon, and T loops).
Source: Rfam